This 633-nucleotide ribosomal RNA is filed under the name Triticum aestivum (bread wheat). Its description in RNAcentral is "partial small subunit ribosomal RNA". Lineage: Eukaryota; Viridiplantae; Streptophyta; Magnoliopsida; Poales; Poaceae. The record is from RNAcentral.
AUGCAGAUUGGUAGCAGUGGGCCACCACUGAGGAACAGGGCAUCACCUUCAAGACUUUUUCUCCUAAACAGUGGCCUCGAUGAUACACAAAAGGAUGCCAUUGGUGAUAUAAGCUUGGGGGGUGUGCUUGAUAUCGGGACAAGAGGAGAUCUUGUGAAGUUUGUGACGAAGUGUUAUGAUCCAGAGUUGUCGCAGCUUGUUAUCCCAGAUAGGGGGAAGAUCCCAGUUGAUGCAGCAAGCGUAGAAAGAAUCCGGGGUUUGCCAAGGGGGGCAGGGAAGGUUGCAUAUGAAGUGGAGCCAGACGUAGUUAGGUUGUUCAAUGAGAUGUUCGACAUCCCGACAGGGCCCGCGCCAUCAGUGACCGAGUGGUGCAAAAUGAUAAAUGAUAUGGGAGCUGUUGCGGACGACAAGUUCUUAAGUGAUUGGCUGGUUGUUGUUUAUAGUUGUUUUCUUGCACCGACGACCAGCUUGAAGGUGUCACCGCACGCAUACUCAGCUGCGCUGAAUCCACGUGAGGUUGUGAAUUCAGAUGUUUGCCAGUUUGUCGUCGACCAACUUAGGCUUGCUUUCAUGGGUUUGGGAGACAAGAAGAAUACUAUAUGCUGCUGCCUUUUCCACCUAGUGGUAAAAUGA